This 73-nucleotide transfer RNA is filed under the name Schistocerca americana (American grasshopper). RNAcentral's name for it is "tRNA-Val". It matches the Rfam family "tRNA". Rfam says of the family: Transfer RNA (tRNA) molecules are approximately 80 nucleotides in length. Their secondary structure includes four short double-helical elements and three loops (D, anti-codon, and T loops). Lineage: Eukaryota; Metazoa; Arthropoda; Insecta; Orthoptera; Acrididae. The record is from RNAcentral.
GUUUCCGUGGCGUAGCGGUUAUCACGUCUGCUUUACACGCAGAAGGUGCCCGGUUCGAUGCCGGGCGGGAACA